AAGGGCGAAGGGUUAAUAGCCCCUAGCUUGACGGUACCCGACGAGGAAGCCCCGGCUAACUACGUGCCAGCAGCCGCGGUAAUACGUAGGGGGCGAGCGUUGUCCGGAAUCAUUGGGCGUAAAGAGCGUGUAGGCGGCUCGGUAAGUCCGCUGUGAAAACCCGGGGCUCAACCCCGGGCGUGCAGUGGAUACUGCCGGGCUAGAGGACGGCAGAGGCGAGUGGAAUUCCCGGUGUAGCGGUGAAAUGCGCAGAUAUCGGGAGGAACACCAGUAGCGAAGGCGGCUCGCUGGGCCGUUCCUGACGCUGAGACGCGAAAGCUAGGGGAGC
RNAcentral lists this ribosomal RNA (328 nucleotides) under uncultured bacterium. Its description in RNAcentral is "bacterial SSU rRNA". It matches the Rfam family "Bacterial small subunit ribosomal RNA", at positions 444 to 769 of the family's 1533-position model. The record is from RNAcentral.